This 497-nucleotide ribosomal RNA is filed under the name uncultured bacterium. Its description in RNAcentral is "partial 16S ribosomal RNA". It matches the Rfam family "Bacterial small subunit ribosomal RNA", at positions 28 to 507 of the family's 1533-position model. The record is from RNAcentral.
GAUGAACGCUGGCGGCGUGCCUAAUACAUGCAAGUCGAGCGAACGGACGAGAAGCUUGCGUCUCUGAUGUUAGCGGCGGACGGGUGAGUAACACGGGGAUAACCUACCUAUAAGACUGGGAUAACUUCGGGAAACCGGAGCUAAUACCGGAUGAUAUUUUGAACCGCAUGGUUCAAAAGUGAAAGAAGGUAUUGCUGUCACUUAUAGAUGGAUCCGCGCUGCAUUAGCUAGUUGGUAAGGUAACGGCUUACCAAGGCAACGAUGCAUAGCCGACCUGAGAGGGUGAACGGCCACACUGGAACUGAGACACGGUCCAGACUCCUACGGGAGGCAGCAGUAGGGAAUCUUCCGCAAUGGGCGAAAGCCUGACGGAGCAACGCCGCGUGAGUGAUGAAGCUCUUCGGAUCGUAAAACUCUGUUAUUAGGGAAGAACAUAUGUGUAAGUAACUGUGCACAUCUUGACGGUACCUAAUCAGAAAGCCACGGCUAACUCCGUG